RNAcentral lists this ribosomal RNA (451 nucleotides) under uncultured bacterium. RNAcentral describes it as "partial 16S ribosomal RNA". It matches the Rfam family "Bacterial small subunit ribosomal RNA", at positions 355 to 797 of the family's 1533-position model. The record is from RNAcentral.
UAGGGAAUCUUCCACAAUGGACGAAAGUCUGAUGGAGCAACGCCGCGUGAGUGAUGAAGGGUUUCGGCUCGUAAAACUCUGUUGUUGGAGAAGAACAGGUGUGAGAGUAACUGUUCACAUCUUGACGGUAUCCAACCAGAAAGCCACGGCUAACUACGUGCCAGCAGCCGCGGUAAUACGUAGGUGGCAAGCGUUGUCCGGAUUUAUUGGGCGUAAAGCGAGCGCAGGCGGUUUCUUAGGUCUGAUGUGAAAGCCUUCGGCUUAACCGGAGAAGUGCAUCGGAAACCAGGAGACUUGAGUGCAGAAGAGGACAGUGGAACUCCAUGUGUAGCGGUGAAAUGCGUAGAUAUAUGGAAGAACACCAGUGGCGAAGGCGGCUGUCUGGUCUGUAACUGACGCUGAGGCUCGAAAGCAUGGGUAGCGAACAGGAUUAGAUACCCUUGGUAGUCCA